This is a small nuclear RNA of Hemibagrus wyckioides, 106 nucleotides long. NCBI's taxonomy places the organism in Eukaryota, Metazoa, Chordata, Actinopteri, Siluriformes, Bagridae. The record is from RefSeq and is a predicted model, not a curated record.
GUCUUCCUGGGGCAGCACAUAUACUAAAAUUGGAACAAUACAGAAAAGAUUAGCAUGGCCCAUGUGCAUGGAUGGCUCACAAAAUCAUGGUAGCUCAGUGGUUAAA